RNAcentral lists this ribosomal RNA (515 nucleotides) under uncultured bacterium. RNAcentral describes it as "partial 16S ribosomal RNA". It matches the Rfam family "Bacterial small subunit ribosomal RNA", at positions 28 to 523 of the family's 1533-position model. The record is from RNAcentral.
GAUGAACGCUGGCGGCGUGCCUAAUACAUGCAAGUCGAGCGAAUGGAUCAAGAGCUUGCUCUUAUGAAGUUAGCGGCGGACGGGUGAGUAACACGUGGGUAACCUGCCCAUAAGACUGGGAUAACUCCGGGAAACCGGGGCUAAUACCGGAUAACAUUUUGAACCGCAUGGUUCGAAAUUGAAAGGCGGCUUCGGCUGUCACUUAUGGAUGGACCCGCGUCGCAUUAGCUAGUUGGUGAGGUAACGGCUCACCAAGGCAACGAUGCGUAGCCGACCUGGGAGGGUGAUAGGCCACACUGGGACUGCGACACGGCCCAGACUCCUACGGGAGGCAGCAGUAGGGAAUCUUCCGCAAUGGACGAAAGUCUGACGGAGCAACGCCGCGUGAGUGAUGAAGGCUUUCGGGUCGUAAAACUCUGUUGUUAGGGAAGAACAAGUGCUAGUUGAAUAAGCUGGCACCUUGACGGUACCUAACCAGAAAGCCACGGCUAACUACGUGCCAGCAGCCGCAGUAA